Molecule: ribosomal RNA, 484 nt
Filed under: uncultured bacterium
Lineage: Bacteria
Description: partial 16S ribosomal RNA
Rfam family: Bacterial small subunit ribosomal RNA
Source: RNAcentral
AGUGAACGCUGGCGGCAGGCCUAACACAUGCAAGUCGAACGGAAGAACGGUGCUUGCUCCUGGAUACAGGGGCGGAGGGGUGGAUGAUGGCUGGAAACAUCCCUGGUAGUGGGGGAUAAGGUCCGAAAAUGGGGGCAAAUACCGCAAAAGUUCAGAGGGAGAAAGUGGGGGAUCUUCGGAUCUCACGCUAUUAGAUGAGCCUAGGUCGGAUUAGCUAGUUGGUGGGGUAAAGGCCUACCAAGGCGACGAUCCGUAACUGGUCUGAGAGGAUGAUCAGGCACACUGGAACUGAGACACGGUCCAGACUCCUACGGGAGGCAGCAGUGGGGAAUAUUGGACAAUGGGCGAAAGCCUGAUCCAGCCAUGCCGCGUGGGUGAAGAAGGUCUUCGGGUUGUAAAGCCCUUUUAGUGGGGAAGAAGGGCAGUAGGUUAAUACCUGGCUGUUUUGACGGUACCAACAGAAUAAGCACCGGCUAACUUCGUG